Molecule: ribosomal RNA, 497 nt
Filed under: uncultured bacterium
Lineage: Bacteria
Description: partial 16S ribosomal RNA
Rfam family: Bacterial small subunit ribosomal RNA
Source: RNAcentral
GACGAACGCUGGCGGCGUGCCUAAUACAUGCAAGUUGAGCGCUGAAGGUUGGUACUUGUACCGACUGGAUGAGCAGCGAACGGGUGAGUAACGCGUGGGGAAUCUGCCUUUGAGCGGGGGACAACAUUUGGAAACGAAUGCUAAUACCGCAUAAAAACUUUAAACACAAGUUUUAAGUUUGAAAGAUGCAAUUGCAUCACUCAAAGAUGAUCCCGCGUUGUAUUAGCUAGUUGGUGAGGUAAAGGCUCAUCAAGGCGAUGAUACAUAGCCGACCUGAGAGGGUGAUCGGCCACAUUGGGACUGAGACACGGCCCAAACUCCUACGGGAGGCAGCAGUAGGGAAUCUUCGGCAAUGGACGAAAGUCUGACCGAGCAACGCCGCGUGAGUGAAGAAGGUUGUCGGAUCGUAAAACUCUGUUGGUAGAGAAGAACGUUGGUGAGAGUGGAAAGCUCAUCAAGUGACGGUAACUACCCAGAAAGGGACGGCUAACUACGUG